GUGGGACACCAUCCCUCGACACCGUGGAGAGUGGCUAUGGGCUCAAUAUCCAGCUUCCCUACCCCUCUCCUCUGAACCUUGCCCCUUCUGGAGAGGCAGGUCUUUGGGUACCAGAUGCUUAGAGCUGGGGACGGUGACCUGCCCACCUCCAGCUCUGUCCUCCGGUCUCUGCAUCCACGCCCACCAUCUAUGCAUCUCACCUGCUCUGCCUGCAGCCUCAGACCAUCUCCCACCUCCCCAGGCUCUCUGGCCUCUGCCUUCUGGCCUUGUUCAUGGUUCCCUCAGAGAGGGAACAACAGCCUCCCCAUCCCAAAUCUAAAUUCGUUUUCCAUGUGUAUAUGUUCUUUGAGUGCCUUAUUCUUUUCCUUCACUGGAAUUUCAGAACUUUUUCAAAUGGAAUCUUAUAUUUAUUUAUGAUAUAUAUUUAUUUAUCUUAUAUUUAUUUAUGAUAUUUAUUUAUUUAUCUUGUAUUUAUUUAUCUAUUUAAACAAAUCUGUCUCUGUUUGAGGGGGACCGCAUGAAGGUGGGAACUUGGUGGCGGUCAUUUCUGGUCAUGUGUCUAGCAGGGCAUAUUAUAUUCCCAAGGAGUAAAUGACAGAAUCCCCAGGACAGAAUGAGCAACCGAGCCAGUGCUUCCAUAACUUUAGUCUCAGGAGCAGCGGCAGCAGCAGCUCCUGGGAACUUGCUAGAUAGACUUUGGGUGUGGACCCAGCAAUCUGGGUUUGAACCAACUGGGCACUGGGAGUCAGGGACACACAAAAGUUUGAGAACUAAUGCUGUCGGAUCAGCGUUCACUGUGGCAAAGGGCCGCCUCUAGGAGACGCGGAGGAUGGGCAAGGCCACAUCUUCAAAUGAGGCAAGGGGCAGCCCUUCUCUAAGGAGGGGCGGGCCGACCCCACCCCGGCCCGCCGUGCUGUUCGGCGGACUGGCCACUGGAGGGCAGUGCGACCACGUCCAUCGCGCCCCUGCUCGGGCCGCAGGCGGGAGCAGCCCUCGGAGCAGCCGGGGAAGGCGGCUGCGGUGGCUUCAGCCAGGAGAGAAGACAUCGAAAGGGAUCGCGGCCCAGGCUGCGGCCUCAGCUCACCGGCCUCAGACGUUCUCAAAGGCCAAAGGGGCCCCGCCGGCGUGCACCUGCGGCCCGGGUAUCGCCGAGGGGUAUCGCCGGGUAUCGCCAAGACCCGGCCAGCCGCCUGCAAGGCCAGGAGCAGAAAGCCGCGGGCAGCAGACGUAGCUGCUAGUGGUCAUCAGGUGUUUGGGGCAAGCUGAGCGCCUGGAUCCCAGACAAGCGUGUAUCCAAGUGUCCUAUGGUGUUGCUCACAGCAUGCAGUGCAGCUUCUUCACAGGCUGCCAGUCUCCAAGCCGGGUCAAGGACAAGCAGGCUGGAGCAGAAUCCAAGUAGUCACCCCUUUCAGGCCCUCUCCACGUGAGGACUUUGCCAUUCAAGGAGCCAGAGGACUUGCUGGGCCCGCUGCCCCUGUGGUCUUAUACCUGAUCUGGUUCAUACAUUGAUCUUGGCUCUCUGUGAUUGGGUACUUCUCAGCUUCCAGAAUAUUCUUGCUUCUAAAUAUCAGCCCUUCAAGGUCCAGCUUAAAUAUCAGCUCCACCAGGAAGCCUUCCUCCAUACUCCCCUCUUUGUUUUCAGCAGCGCCUGUCUUUUCCGUCCCUGCCCACCUGUAGUGCCAGUUGGCCUCUGCUGUGGAACUCUCCUCUUUUCUUCUCUGCACCCUCCCCCCACUGAAUUGUGGGCACCUGGAGGGUGGGGACAGUGUGACGGUGGUCUUUGCAUCCCCCAUGGUGCCUUGCACAAGUGGGUCAUUCCAGAAAGGGUGGUUGCAAGAGAAUCAUGAAAUUAUUGAAUGGGUUUUGGUGUUGUAAACAACUUCCCAAACAUUUUGAACCUUGAGCAAAGAAACAUGUAAUGGUGUUUUCUUAAGCCCUGUCAUGGAAUCCUUUUGUGUGUUU
Non-coding RNA from Sus scrofa (pig), 1962 nucleotides. The record is from RefSeq and is a predicted model, not a curated record. NCBI's taxonomy places the organism in Eukaryota, Metazoa, Chordata, Mammalia, Artiodactyla, Suidae.